AACGAACGCUGGCGGCAUGCCUAACACAUGCAAGUCGAACGAAGCCUUCGGGCUUUGUGGCGCACGGUGGCGUAACGCGUGGGAAUCUGCCCCUUGCUUCGCUAUCACAGAUAGAAAUGUCUGCUAAUACCGGAUGAAGUCUUCCGACCUAAGAUUUAUCGGCAAGGGAUGGGGACGCGUAGGAUUCGGUUGUUGGUGUGGUAAAGGCCUACCAAGCCGACGAUCCUUAGCUGGUCUGAGGGGAUGAUCAGCCACACUGGGACUGAGACACGGCCGAGACUCCUACGGAAGGCAGCAAGGGGGAAUAUUGGACGAUGGACGCGAGUCUGAGCCAGCAGGGCCGCGUAAGUGAUUUAGGCGUUAGGAUUGUAAAGCUCUUUUACAAGGGAUGAUAAUGACGGUACCUGGAGAAUAAGCGCCGGCUAACUCCGUG
RNAcentral lists this ribosomal RNA (433 nucleotides) under uncultured bacterium. RNAcentral describes it as "partial 16S ribosomal RNA". It matches the Rfam family "Bacterial small subunit ribosomal RNA", at positions 29 to 507 of the family's 1533-position model. The record is from RNAcentral.